AAAAAAGCCAACACACUCGCGCGCUCACGAUCUGCGCCAACACACCGCGUACCGCCAGUCGAUUGAACGCGUCGUGCCGCUGUCUUUCAAUGCUACGACUGUUGCCACAGAGUGUUGCCUGACGCCUGUGUUCACUAUUGGUGCUUGUGGUGUUGUGACCGAUCCUCAUCUGGCUGAUCCUCCUACAGCUGCGGGAGCUGUUGCUGCUAUUGCUACAAAGUCCGUUUCUGCAUUUAUUGCUACUGCUGCUUCUUCUUCGGCAUCUUUUAAUUCUUCCUCUUCGUCUUCUAUUUAUUGCCGUGCUAUACUCGUAUUUAUUGUUGCCAGCAAGCAGCUAACAACAACAAUAAAGCGGUGUCCGUUUAUUGUGAUCGCUUAGCAGCCAUUUCGUUUUUAAUUUUAGAGCAUGUCUAUUUUCUUCUAAUUAUAUCGCUGGCGGUGAGGAGAAACGGCCAAUGUAUACAAAAUUAUGAACCACAAAGUUGUUGUAAAAAUACGCUCUUCGCCUGCAGUAUAAAAUAAGACAUAUAGUUGAAAGGAAACGAAAGCGCGUAUAAUGAAGGCUUUAUUGAAGAUGUAAAGUUCCAAACCUCGAUUCUUAGAUAGACACAAGCUGGAGAGAGAAAUUCUUACAAACAAAUCCGCGGUGAUCAAAAUUUCGAAUAUUCUGCUCAAGUGAUCGAUGGUCACACGAUUACUUCUGAUCCUUACCGACCUAUAGCACUAUUUAAAUAAUUGCGCAUUUCAGAUCAAAGAUUCAGCGGCUUUUUCCUGGAAGCUUAAUAUUCAUUAUUGGACGCUGUCUAAAUAACAAAAUGACAUUACAAAAAUCGAACGGUAAUACUUCUCCUAGAAACAACGCACCCAAGUUAAGUGUCAAGGUGAUUUGCUUAAUAUAAGGCCUUCAUAUUACCUCCAUUACUAUCUCUCUAUCUACACAGAACAGAAGAUGUCAGAUGCUCGGAGUCACUAAAUGGGUAAAGGACACUC
Molecule: non-coding RNA, 990 nt
Organism: Bactrocera oleae (olive fruit fly)
Lineage: Eukaryota; Metazoa; Arthropoda; Insecta; Diptera; Tephritidae
Source: RefSeq, a predicted model, not a curated record